RNAcentral lists this ribosomal RNA (935 nucleotides) under glacier bacterium FXS8. RNAcentral describes it as "bacterial SSU rRNA". It matches the Rfam family "Bacterial small subunit ribosomal RNA", at positions 518 to 1448 of the family's 1533-position model. The record is from RNAcentral.
CGGUAAUACGUAGGGCGCAAGCGUUAUCCGGAAUUAUUGGGCGUAAAGAGCUCGUAGGCGGUUUGUCGCGUCUGCCGUGAAAGUCCGGGGCUCAACUCCGGAUCUGCGGUGGGUACGGGCAGACUAGAGUGAUGUAGGGGAGACUGGAAUUCCUGGUGUAGCGGUGAAAUGCGCAGAUAUCAGGAGGAACACCGAUGGCGAAGGCAGGUCUCUGGGCAUUAACUGACGCUGAGGAGCGAAAGCAUGGGGAGCGAACAGGAUUAGAUACCCUGGUAGUCCAUGCCGUAAACGUUGGGCACUAGGUGUGGGGGACAUUCCACGUUUUCCGCGCCGUAGCUAACGCAUUAAGUGCCCCGCCUGGGGAGUACGGCCGCAAGGCUAAAACUCAAAGGAAUUGACGGGGGCCCGCACAAGCGGCGGAGCAUGCGGAUUAAUUCGAUGCAACGCGAAGAACCUUACCAAGGCUUGACAUGAAUUAGUAAGGCGCAGAAAUGCGUCCCCCUCUUGAGGCUGGUUUACAGGUGGUGCAUGGUUGUCGUCAGCUCGUGUCGUGAGAUGUUGGGUUAAGUCCCGCAACGAGCGCAACCCUCGUUCUAUGUUGCCAGCGCGUGAUGGCGGGGACUCAUAGGAGACUGCCGGGGUCAACUCGGAGGAAGGUGGGGACGACGUCAAAUCAUCAUGCCCCUUAUGUCUUGGGCUUCACGCAUGCUACAAUGGCCGGUACAAAGGGUUGCGAUACUGUGAGGUGGAGCUAAUCCCAAAAAGCCGGUCUCAGUUCGGAUUGGGGUCUGCAACUCGACCCCAUGAAGUCGGAGUCGCUAGUAAUCGCAGAUCAGCAACGCUGCGGUGAAUACGUUCCCGGGCCUUGUACACACCGCCCGUCAAGUCACGAAAGUUGGUAACACCCGAAGCCGGUGGCCUAACCCCUUGUGGGA